UUCUGUAGCAAGGUUAACCGUAUAGGGGAGCCGAAGGGAAACCGAGUCUUAACUGGGCGUUAAGUUGCAGGGUAUAGACCCGAAACCCGGUGAUCUAGCCAUGGGCAGGUUGAAGGUUGGGUAACACUAACUGGAGGACCGAACCGACUAAUGUUGAAAAAUUAGCGGAUGACCUGUGGCUGGGGGUGAAAGGCCAAUCAAACCGGGAGAUAGCUGGUUCUCCCCGAAAGCUAUUUAGGUAGCGCCUCGUGAACUCAUCUUCGGGGGUAGAGCACUGUUUCGGCUAGGGGGCCAUCCCGGCUUACCAACCCGAUGCAAACUACGAAUACCGAAGAAUGUUAUCACGGGAGACACACGGCGGGUGCUAACGUCCGUCGUGAAGAGGGAAACAACCCAGACCGCCAGCUAAGGUCCCAAAGUCAUGGUUAAGUGGGAAACGAUGUGGGAAGGCCCAGACAGCCAGGAUGUUGGCUUAGAAGCAGCCAUCAUUUAAAGAAAGCGUAAUAGCUCACUGGUCGAGUCGGCCUGCGCGGAAGAUGUAACGGGGCUAAACCAUGCACCGAAGCUGCGGCAGCGACACUCUGUGUUGUUGGGUAGGGGAGCGUUCUGUAAGCCGUUGAAGGUGGCCUGUGAGGGUUGCUGGAGGUAUCAGAAGUGCGAAUGCUGACAUAAGUAACGAUAAAGCGGGUGAAAAGCCCGCUCGCCGGAAGACCAAGGGUUCCUGUCCAACGUUAAUCGGGGCAGGGUGAGUCGACCCCUAAGGCGAGGCCGAAAGGCGUAGUCGAUGGGAAACAGGUUAAUAUUCCUGUACUUGGUGUUACUGCGAAGGGGGGACGGAGAAGGCUAUGUUAGCCGGGCGACGGUUGUCCCGGUUUAAGCAUGUAGGCGGAGGUUC
RNAcentral lists this ribosomal RNA (895 nucleotides) under Enterobacter cloacae. RNAcentral's name for it is "partial 23S ribosomal RNA". It matches the Rfam family "Bacterial large subunit ribosomal RNA", at positions 633 to 1533 of the family's 2925-position model. Lineage: Bacteria; Pseudomonadati; Pseudomonadota; Gammaproteobacteria; Enterobacterales; Enterobacteriaceae. The record is from RNAcentral.